RNAcentral lists this ribosomal RNA (482 nucleotides) under uncultured Lachnospiraceae bacterium. RNAcentral describes it as "bacterial SSU rRNA". It matches the Rfam family "Bacterial small subunit ribosomal RNA", at positions 36 to 507 of the family's 1533-position model. Lineage: Bacteria; Bacillati; Bacillota; Clostridia; Lachnospirales; Lachnospiraceae. The record is from RNAcentral.
AACGACUGGCGGCGUGCCUACACAUAGCAAGUCGAACGAGACAUGACCCGACUGAGGCCUUCGGGCGGAAUAGGGUCAUGACUUAGUGGCGGACGGGUGGACGUAACGCGUGGGUAACCUGCCCUAGUACUGGGGGAUAACAGCUAGAAUGGCUGCUAAUACCGCAUGAGCGCACAGUCCCGCAUGGGACAGUGCGGAAAACUCCGGUGGUAUAGGAUGGACCCGCGUCCGAUCAGCUGGUUGGUGGGGUAACGGCCCACCAAGGCGACGAUCGGUAGCCGACCUGAGAGGGUGACCGGCCACAUUGGGACUGAGACACGGCCCAAACUCCUACGGGAGGCAGCAGUGGGGGAUAUCGCACAAUGGGGGGAACCCUGAUGCAGCGACGCCGCGUGAGUGAAGGAGUACUCCGGUAUGUAAAGCUCUAUCAGCAGGGAAGAAGCAAGACGGUACCUGACCAAGAAGCCCCGGCUAACUACGUG